RNAcentral lists this ribosomal RNA (301 nucleotides) under uncultured bacterium. RNAcentral's name for it is "partial 16S ribosomal RNA". It matches the Rfam family "Bacterial small subunit ribosomal RNA", at positions 509 to 807 of the family's 1533-position model. The record is from RNAcentral.
CAGUCGCCGCGGUAAUACGAAGGGUGCAAGCGUUACUCGGAAUUACUGGGCGUAAAGCGUGCGUAGGUGGUGGUUUAAGUCCGUUGUGAAAGCCCUGGGCUCAACCUGGGAAUUGCAGUGGAUACUGGGUCACUAGAGUGUGGUAGAGGAUAGUGGAAUUUCCGGUGUAGCAGUGAAAUGCGUAGAGAUCGGAAGGAACAUCUGUGGCGAAGGCGACUAUCUGGGCCAACACUGACACUGAGACACGAAAGCGUGGGGAGCAAACAGGAUUAGAUACCCCAGUAGUCCCUGUCUCUUAUAC